Molecule: ribosomal RNA, 296 nt
Filed under: Haemophilus influenzae
Lineage: Bacteria; Pseudomonadati; Pseudomonadota; Gammaproteobacteria; Pasteurellales; Pasteurellaceae
Description: partial 16S ribosomal RNA
Rfam family: Bacterial small subunit ribosomal RNA
Source: RNAcentral
AGAGGGAAGCGAAGCUGCGAGGUGGAGCGAAUCUCAUAAAGUACGUCUAAGUCCGGAUUGGAGUCUGCAACUCGACUCCAUGAAGUCGGAAUCGCUAGUAAUCGCGAAUCAGAAUGUCGCGGUGAAUACGUUCCCGGGCCUUGUACACACCGCCCGUCACACCAUGGGAGUGGGUUGUACCAGAAGUAGAUAGCUUAACCUUUUGGAGGGCGUUUACCACGGUAUGAUUCAUGACUGGGGUGAAGUCGUAACAAGGUAACCGUAGGGGAACCUGCGGUUGGAUCACCUCCUUACCC